RNAcentral lists this transfer RNA (73 nucleotides) under Bos taurus (domestic cattle). It matches the Rfam family "tRNA". Rfam says of the family: Transfer RNA (tRNA) molecules are approximately 80 nucleotides in length. Their secondary structure includes four short double-helical elements and three loops (D, anti-codon, and T loops). The record is from Rfam by way of RNAcentral. RNAcentral also lists the same sequence under 2 other names. Lineage: Eukaryota; Metazoa; Chordata; Mammalia; Artiodactyla; Bovidae.
UCCCUGGUGGCUCAGAGGGGUAAAGCACCUGACUACAAUGCAGGAGACCUGGGUUCGAUCCUGGGUCAGGAAA